Long non-coding RNA from Symphalangus syndactylus (siamang), 375 nucleotides. RefSeq lists it as uncharacterized. Lineage: Eukaryota; Metazoa; Chordata; Mammalia; Primates; Hylobatidae. The record is from RefSeq and is a predicted model, not a curated record.
AGCAGAUGUGUUUUGUGCUUAAUGAAAGCAUUAGACAGUGUUACUUCUAUUCAGCAAAUGUGACUGGAGUUUUCUUAUGGCACUGGACUUCAUUACUUCCUUACUGCAACCUGGCGCUUAAAGUGCUAUCAUCACAAGGAUGAAGAAACAAUUCAGAAAGGCCGAUUGAGAUGGCUAUUGUCAUGCCUUAUACCACUGGCAGAAGCCAAACUGAAUUUGUGGAAGAAAAAUAAGUCAGCGUUUAAUGGAUGGAACAGAGAGUGGAAACAUCUGACAGAACAGUAGGAAACUUUGUUCUGUUUUGAACGCCUCACCACUACUCAUACCAUCUGUCAUGCAUUUCUCAUGAAAUAAACAAUUUUCAGAAUUUUUUUG